CAUAGGGAAGAUUAGCAUGGCCCCUGAGCGAGGAUGACAUGCAAAUUUGUGGUGGUCCGUAUUUUU
This 66-nucleotide small nuclear RNA is filed under the name Meriones unguiculatus (Mongolian gerbil). Lineage: Eukaryota; Metazoa; Chordata; Mammalia; Rodentia; Muridae. The record is from RNAcentral.